CCUACGGGUGGCUGCAGUGGGGAAUAUUGGACAAUGGGGGGAACCCUGAUCCAGCCAUGCCGCGUGUGUGAAGAAGGCCCUCGGGUUGUAAAGCACUUUCAGUGAGGAAGAACGCCUGGUGGUUAAUACCCAUCAGGAAAGACAUCACUCACAGAAGAAGCACCGGCUAACUCCGUGCCAGCAGCCGCGGUAAUACGGAGGGUGCGAGCGUUAAUCGGAAUUACUGGGCGUAAAGCGCGCGUAGGUGGCUUGAUAAGCCGGUUGUGAAAGCCCCGGGCUCAACCUGGGAACGGCAUCUGGAACUGUCAAGCUAGAGUGCAGGAGAGGAAGGUAGAAUUCCCGGUGUAGCGGUGAAAUGCGUAGAGAUCGGGAGGAAUACCAGUGGCGAAGGCGGCCUUCUGGACUGACACUGACACUGAGGUGCGAAAGCGUGGGUAGCAAACAGGAUUAGAUACCCUAGUAGUC
RNAcentral lists this ribosomal RNA (465 nucleotides) under Vreelandella stevensii. RNAcentral's name for it is "partial 16S ribosomal RNA". It matches the Rfam family "Bacterial small subunit ribosomal RNA", at positions 338 to 795 of the family's 1533-position model. Lineage: Bacteria; Pseudomonadati; Pseudomonadota; Gammaproteobacteria; Oceanospirillales; Halomonadaceae. The record is from RNAcentral.